Molecule: long non-coding RNA, 439 nt
Organism: Austrofundulus limnaeus
Lineage: Eukaryota; Metazoa; Chordata; Actinopteri; Cyprinodontiformes; Rivulidae
Exons: 3
Source: RefSeq, a predicted model, not a curated record
AAGGAAGCAAAACAACUUAUUUAAAAAAAGAAAAGCAAUGAGCCUAACUCCUUUACAGUUGGUUAAAUAAUUGUUUGGUGGACUAAUAAAUGUGAUGUCUUUGAUUGCAGACAGCCAGAUGGUCUGCUCUGCUGCUCGGUGUGCUCUAUGGGAAACAGAGGUUUGAUUACCUGAAGCCCAUUGCUGAGGAGGAAAGGAGGAAUGAAGAAGCGGAGAAGAUGAUUCGAGAGCAGCAGGAGAGCAUUUAUAAUCGACUGUCAGAAGGUUCUGACACCAUUCUCAAAUGAGCUGUUUAUGGACCAACGAUGAAGUAUUUCAAGCUCAAACAAAACUUUUUUUUUUUGUGAUUUUAAAACCGUAAUGUGGUAAUGUUUUGUAUCUUAAAAUGAUCUCCUGAAAAUAAUUUAUUGUCAAAUAAACAUGCCCAUAGAAAUCAGAA